UUUUACAAUGACAGCCUCCCCCCCGACCAAACCCUCCCCUAUCCAGGACACAUUGGGCUUGUUAAGGCUCUGAAGUCCAAACAAUUUGGUCGCAUACACGACAAAAUAUCGUUAGCAUCACAGUUGCACCAUUUAUCUAGCUCAACCAGGUCAAAAAAAAGAUCUGACCUACAGUGCAUGUAUAUUUGAGUUAUUUAAGCCGACACUCCAGACUAGACGGCUCAAUCAGCUAUAGAAGGUGUCACCUCUCGCCACCACAUCACACAGCUGUACAGCUAGUCCUGCUGCUGAGGCUGAUGGGGAUUUUUAAGUCAUGCCGGAUGUGACUGUGAUCAGAUAAUUUAGGAGGGGUCAUUUUAAUGUGGAUAAAGUGUACUUUCACCCCUGCUUACUGACCACUCCCAACCUACUACUGCCAACCUGAAGAAUAAACUACUAUUUAAAUCAUUUCAUUAUCAAGGUGUGUCAUUUUGUGGUUCUCUUUCACUGCAAAAAAAAACCCAACACUUUGAUCUCAUCAGGUGUUUGUUUGCAGCAUGCCACGUGGAAUUCACUCUGUUACAUUAAGGUUCAUGUGGAUGUUUUUGCAGUGUCAUUAUUGGGUAUUGUGUGUAGAUUGAUGAGGAAAAAUGUAUAUUUAAUCGAUUUUAGAAUAACGCUGUAACGUAACAAAAUGUGGGAAAGGGGAAGGGGUCUGAAUACUUUCCGAAUGCUCUGUAUAUUACUGUAUAAACCAUGUCGUGGUCCGUUUUUUUAAAAACUGCUCGCGCUUUUCCGUCGUUAACCAUCUGUUUACACUUUGUUCAGUCGUGUUCACUCGUCGGUUGGCGAGCUGAGGGGCCGCGGGAAAGAAAAGGGAUCAAUGGUCAUAGCAACACACUUUCUUCGAUAGCAAUGAAUGUAUGACAGAUCUCUUGUCAUUGCACGUUGUCAUCACAAACCCGCCAUUUAUUUUAUUUAAAGAGACAGUGUACUGAGAAACCUACUAUUUACAUGUGGCUUUUGUAAUUUCACCCGACAGGUGUUUUGUAAUAAACAUUUUAGCUUUCA
Oncorhynchus mykiss (rainbow trout) is the source of this 1050-nucleotide non-coding RNA. NCBI's taxonomy places the organism in Eukaryota, Metazoa, Chordata, Actinopteri, Salmoniformes, Salmonidae. The record is from RefSeq and is a predicted model, not a curated record.